RNAcentral lists this ribosomal RNA (408 nucleotides) under uncultured bacterium. RNAcentral's name for it is "partial 16S ribosomal RNA". It matches the Rfam family "Bacterial small subunit ribosomal RNA", at positions 28 to 526 of the family's 1533-position model. The record is from RNAcentral.
GACGAACGCUGGCGGCGUGCUUAACACAUGCAAGUCGAACGAAGUGGCGAACGGGUGAGUAACGCGUAAUCAACCUGCCCUUCAGAGGGGGACAACAGUUGGAAACGACUGCUCAUACCGCAUACUGAAGGAGGGGAUUGCGUCUGAUUAGCUAGCUGGGGGGGUAACGGCCCACCAAGGCGAGGAUCAGUAGCCGGUCUGAGAGGAUGAACGGCCACAUUGGGACUGAGACACGGCCAAGACCCCGACGGGAGGCAGCAGGGGGGAAUCUUCCGCAAUGCACGAAAGUCGGACGGAGCAACGCCGAGGGAGUGAUGACGGCCUUCGGGUUGUAAAGCUCUGUUAAGCGGGACGCGGUACCGGAAUAGAAAGCCACGGCUAACUACGUGCCAGCAGCCGCGGUAAUAC